Molecule: non-coding RNA, 805 nt
Organism: Equus caballus (horse)
Lineage: Eukaryota; Metazoa; Chordata; Mammalia; Perissodactyla; Equidae
Source: RefSeq, a predicted model, not a curated record
CUACAGAUAAACACUGAAUUCCCUGUUUGUUUGUUUGUUUUAUUCCACUUUUUCCCCUUGUAGCCACGAUGCAAGGAAAAUCACAGUCUGAAAUCCUUCUUGUGACAUUUAGUAAGAUUUCCUCAGCCUGGAGCCUUGGAGAUCUGCCCUCCAACUUCCAAUAUCCACAAAGAUCACAUGAUGACUUUCCUUUGGUGAGAGCUGAAGAAACCUACACUUCGGAGAUGGCCAACCUCACUGUGCUGAUUCCACCUCUGAAUCCUCAACUGGCAGUACUAUGAAUCCUAUGUUCUACAGCUUGGGAAAUACAGGCAUCAAAGAUGAUCUAAGAAAGCAUUCUGACUGUCAGAAGGAGGAACAAAUCUAUAGAAGUGAUUCCAACCAUGGACAGUACCUAAAUCAUGUAGUUACAAAGAAAGAAUAUUCUGCAACCAUGCAUUUGAGCACUCAUAAAAGGUCUGAGGUACACUUCAACAGGUAAGUAAAAACUUUAUAAUCUCCUCUUUUAAUUGAUGUUCUGAUGUUCUUUGCUCUCAUUUCUUUUUCUUUUUCUAUUUUCCCCAUCACUCUGAUUUUCUCCUGUUCUUUCUCCUCCGCUUUUCACUAAUUGAUAACUUUAUGCAGAAACAGGAAUUGACUGAAGGUAUGUCUUCACUUGAGUGUUUAGUUUUUGCCUUACAUUGCCAGUGCCCUCAAGACACCACCAAUUGCUCAUAUUGAAACCAACUAUUUAUUGGACCACAGGAAAAGCUCUUUCAAAUAAUACACUUUACCAUACCAUUAUUUUCCCUUUCUCACCAAAUCC